GGAGGGCAAGGAUGAUGAUUCAAUUAGAUGUGUGAAAGGAGAAUUCCUUUUUGAACUCAAAAUUUUGAGGCAUAUCCAUUCGUAUACCUGACUUGCUACUA
This is a non-coding RNA of Lupinus albus (white lupine), 101 nucleotides long. The record is from the annotation of a GenBank genome assembly. Lineage: Eukaryota; Viridiplantae; Streptophyta; Magnoliopsida; Fabales; Fabaceae.